AGAGUUUGAUCAUGGCUCAGGACGAACGCUGGCGGCGUGGAUUAGGCAUGCAAGUCGAGCGACGGACAGUCUUCGGACUGUUACGGAGCGGCGAACGGGUGAGUAACACGUGAAUAACCUGCCCAUAUGUUCCGGAUAAUUGGCCGAAAGGCCUUGUAAUACGGGGGAGGAUCGGUCUUUGGCAUCUUAGACCGAGGGAAGUCGCAAGACGCAUAUGGAGGGGUUCGCGGAUUAUCAGGUAGUUGGUGGGGUAACGGCCUACCAAGCCUACGACGAUUAGCUGGUCUGAGAGGAUGGUCGGCCACAUUGGAACUGAGACACUGUCCAGACUCCUACGGGAGGCUGCAGUCGAGAAUCUUGGUCAAUGCACGAAAGUGUGAACCAGCGACGCCGCGUGAAGGAUGAAGGCCCUCUGGGUCGUAAACUUCUUUUACGGGAGAAGAACACAAUGAUGGUAUCCCGUGAAUAAGCCACGGCUAACUACGUGCCAGCAGCCGCGGUAAUACGUAGGUGGCAAGCGUUGUCCGGAUUUACUGGGCGUAAAGCGAACGCAGGCGGAUCUUUAAGUAGGAAGUGAAAGGUUGGAGCUCAACUCUAACACUGCUCCCUAUACUGGAGAUCUUGAGUGCCGGAGAGGAAAACGGAACAAGUUGUGUAGCGGUGAAAUGCGUUGAUAUAACUUGGAACACCAAUGGCGAAAGCAGUUUUCUGGACGGAUACUGACGCUCAUGUUCGAAAGCCAAGGUAGCAAACAGGAUUAGAUACCCCGGUAGUCC
Molecule: ribosomal RNA, 776 nt
Filed under: uncultured bacterium
Lineage: Bacteria
Description: bacterial SSU rRNA
Rfam family: Bacterial small subunit ribosomal RNA
Source: RNAcentral